UUAAGCGACUAAGCGUACACGGUGGAUGCCCUGGCAGUCAGAGGCGAUGAAGGACGUGCUAAUCUGCGAAAAGCGUCGGUAAGGUGAUAUGAACCGUUAUAACCGGCGAUGUCCGAAUGGGGAAACCCAGUGCAAUUCGUUGCACUAUCGUUAACUGAAUACAUAGGUUAACGAGGCGAACCGGGGGAACUGAAACAUCUAAGUACCCCGAGGAAAAGAAAUCAACCGAGAUUCCCCCAGUAGCGGCGAGCGAACGGGGAGCAGCCCAGAGUCUGAAUCAGCUUGUGUGUUAGUGGAACGGUCUGGAAAGUCCGACGGUACAGGGUGAUAGUCCCGUACACCAAAAUGCACAGGCUGUGAACUCGAAGAGUAGGGCGGGACACGUGGUAUCCUGUCUGAAUAUGGGGGGACCAUCCUCCAAGGCUAAAUACUCCUGACUGACCGAUAGUGAACCAGUACCGUGAGGGAAAGGCGAAAAGAACCCCGGCGAGGGGAGUGAAAAAGAACCUGAAACCGUGUACGUACAAGCAGUGGGAGCACCUUCGGGUGUGACUGCGUACCUUUUGUAUAAUGGGUCAGCGACUUAUAUUCUGUAGCAAGGUUAACCGUAUAGGGGAGCCGCAGGGAAACCGAGUCUUAACUGGGCGUUAAGUUGCAGGGUAUAGACCCGAAACCCGGUGAUCUAGCCAUGGGCAGGUUGAAGGUUGGGUAACACUAACUGGAGGACCGAACCGACUAAUGUUGAAAAAUUAGCGGAUGACUUGUGGCUGGGGGUGAAAGGCCAAUCAAACCGGGAGAUAGCUGGUUCUCCCCGAAAGCUAUUUAGGUAGCGCCUCGUGAACUCAUCUUCGGGGGUAGAGCACUGUUUCGGCUAGGGGGUCAUCCCGACUUACCAACCCGAUGCAAACUACGAAUACCGAAGAAUGUUAUCACGGGAGACACACGGCGGGUGCUAACGUCCGUCGUGAAGAGGGAAACAACCCAGACCGCCAGCUAAGGUCCCAAAGUCAUGGUUAAGUGGGAAACGAUGUGGGAAGGCACAGACAGCCAGGAUGUUGGCUUAGAAGCAGCCAUCAUUUAAAGAAAGCGUAAUAGCUCACUGGUCGAGUCGGCCUGCGCGGAAGAUGUAACGGGGCUAAACCAUGCACCGAAGCUGCGGCAGCGACACUAUGUGUUGUUGGGUAGGGGAGCGUUCUGUAAGCCUGCGAAGGUGUGCUGUGAGGCAUGCUGGAGGUAUCAGAAGUGCGAAUGCUGACAUAAGUAACGAUAAAGCGGGUGAAAAGCCCGCUCGCCGGAAGACCAAGGGUUCCUGUCCAACGUUAAUCGGGGCAGGGUGAGUCGACCCCUAAGGCGAGGCCGAAAGGCGUAGUCGAUGGGAAACAGGUUAAUAUUCCUGUACUUGGUGUUACUGCGAAGGGGGGACGGAGAAGGCUAUGUUAGCCGGGCGACGGUUGUCCCGGUUUAAGCAUGUAGGCUGGUUAUCCAGGCAAAUCCGGAUAAUCAAGGCUGAGGUGUGAUGACGAGGCACUACGGUGCUGAAGUAACAAAUGCCCUGCUUCCAGGAAAAGCCUCUAAGCAUCAGGUAACAUCAAAUCGUACCCCAAACCGACACAGGUGGUCAGGUAGAGAAUACCAAGGCGCUUGAGAGAACUCGGGUGAAGGAACUAGGCAAAAUGGUGCCGUAACUUCGGGAGAAGGCACGCUGGUGUGUAGGUGAAGUCCCUGCGGAUGGAGCUGAGACCAGUCGAAGAUACCAGCUGGCUGCAACUGUUUAUUAAAAACACAGCACUGUGCAAACACGAAAGUGGACGUAUACGGUGUGACGCCUGCCCGGUGCCGGAAGGUUAAUUGAUGGGGUUAUCCGUAAGGAGAAGCUCUUGAUCGAAGCCCCGGUAAACGGCGGCCGUAACUAUAACGGUCCUAAGGUAGCGAAAUUCCUUGUCGGGUAAGUUCCGACCUGCACGAAUGGCGUAAUGAUGGCCAGGCUGUCUCCACCCGAGACUCAGUGAAAUUGAACUCGCUGUGAAGAUGCAGUGUACCCGCGGCAAGACGGAAAGACCCCGUGAACCUUUACUAUAGCUUGACACUGAACAUUGAGCCUUGAUGUGUAGGAUAGGUGGGAGGCUUUGAAGCGUGGACGCCAGUCUGCGUGGAGCCAACCUUGAAAUACCACCCUUUAAUGUUUGAUGUUCUAACGUUGGCCCCUGACCGGGGUUGCGGACAGUGUCUGGUGGGUAGUUUGACUGGGGCGGUCUCCUCCCAAAGCGUAACGGAGGAGCACGAAGGUUAGCUAAUCCUGGUCGGACAUCAGGAGGUUAGUGCAAUGGCAUAAGCUAGCUUGACUGCGAGCGUGACGGCGCGAGCAGGUGCGAAAGCAGGUCAUAGUGAUCCGGUGGUUCUGAAUGGAAGGGCCAUCGCUCAACGGAUAAAAGGUACUCCGGGGAUAACAGGCUGAUACCGCCCAAGAGUUCAUAUCGACGGCGGUGUUUGGCACCUCGAUGUCGGCUCAUCACAUCCUGGGGCUGAAGUAGGUCCCAAGGGUAUGGCUGUUCGCCAUUUAAAGUGGUACGCGAGCUGGGUUUAGAACGUCGUGAGACAGUUCGGUCCCUAUCUGCCGUGGGCGCUGGAGAAUUGAGGGGGGCUGCUCCUAGUACGAGAGGACCGGAGUGGACGCAUCACUGGUGUUCGGGUUGUCAUGCCAAUGGCACUGCCCGGUAGCUAAAUGCGGAAGAGAUAAGUGCUGAAAGCAUCUAAGCACGAAACUUGCCCCGAGAUGAGUUCUCCCUGAGACUUUAAGUCUCCUGAAGGAACGUUAAAGACGAUGACGUUGAUAGGCCGGGUGUGUAAGCGCAGCGAUGCGUUGAGCUAACCGGUACUAAUGAACCGUGAGGCUUAACCUU
This 2900-nucleotide ribosomal RNA is filed under the name Klebsiella pneumoniae. RNAcentral's name for it is "bacterial LSU rRNA". It matches the Rfam family "Bacterial large subunit ribosomal RNA". Lineage: Bacteria; Pseudomonadati; Pseudomonadota; Gammaproteobacteria; Enterobacterales; Enterobacteriaceae. RNAcentral also lists the same sequence under 11 other names. The record is from RNAcentral.